GUCCCUGUAGCGCAAUGGAUAGUGUGUUGGACUCCUAAUCUAAAGGCUGUGAGUUCGAAUCCCACCUGGGAUG
This is a non-coding RNA of Trichonephila clavipes, 73 nucleotides long. Lineage: Eukaryota; Metazoa; Arthropoda; Arachnida; Araneae; Nephilidae. The record is from the annotation of a GenBank genome assembly.